RNAcentral lists this ribosomal RNA (501 nucleotides) under uncultured bacterium. RNAcentral describes it as "bacterial SSU rRNA". It matches the Rfam family "Bacterial small subunit ribosomal RNA", at positions 903 to 1397 of the family's 1533-position model. The record is from RNAcentral.
AAAUGAAUAGACGGGGACCCGCACAAGCAGCGGAGCAUGUGGUUUAAUUCGAAGCAACGCGAAGAACCUUACCAAGACUUGACAUAAUUAUGCAUAGUCAUGAAAGUGAUGAAAUUUAUAACUUGUUAUAAACAUAAUUACAGAUGGUGCAUGGUUGUCGUCAGCUCGUGUCGUGAGAUGUUGGGUUAAGUCCCGCAACGAGCGCAACCCUCGUUUUUAGUUGCCAUCAUUAAGUUGGGCACUCUAAAGAGACUGCCGCAGAUAAUGCGGAGGAAGGUGAGGACGACGUCAAAUCAUCAUGCCUCUUACGUCUUGGGCUACACACGUGCUACAAUGGACGGCACAAAGAGAUGCAAUAUAGCAAUAUGGAGCAAAACUCAAAAAACCGUUCUCAAUUCGGAUUGUGGGCUGCAACCCGCCCACAUGAAGCUGGAGUUGCUAGUAAUCCUGGAUCAGCACGCCAGGGUGAAUGCGUUCUCGGGUCUUGUACACACCGCCCGU